Molecule: ribosomal RNA, 94 nt
Filed under: uncultured bacterium
Lineage: Bacteria
Description: partial 16S ribosomal RNA
Rfam family: Bacterial small subunit ribosomal RNA
Source: RNAcentral
AAGGCCUUAGGGUUGUAAAGCACUUUCAGGGGGGAGGAAAGGCACGUAAGUGUUUUGACGUUACCCCCAGAAGAAGCACCGGCUAACUCUGUGC